CCUACGGGAGGCAGCAGUGAGGAAUAUUGGUCAAUGGACGAGAGUCUGAACCAGCCAAGUAGCGUGAAGGAUGACUGCCCUAUGGGUUGUAAACUUCUUUUAUAUGGGAAUAAAAUGUUCCACGUGUGGGAUUUUGUAUGUACCAUAUGAAUAAGGAUCGGCUAACUCCGUGCCAGCAGCCGCGGUAAUACGGAGGAUCCGAGCGUUAUCCGGAUUUAUUGGGUUUAAAGGGAGCGUAGGUGGAUUGUUAAGUCAGUUGUGAAAGUUUGCGGCUCAACCGUAAAAUUGCAGUUGAAACUGGGAGUCUUGAGUACAGUAGAGGUGGGCGGAAUUCGUGGUGUAGCGGUGAAAUGCUUAGAUAUCACGAAGAACUCCGAGUGCGAAGGCAGCUCACUGGACUGCAACUGACACUGAGGCUCGAAAGUGUGGGUAUCAAACAGGAUUAGAUACCCGAGUAGGC
Molecule: ribosomal RNA, 460 nt
Filed under: uncultured bacterium
Lineage: Bacteria
Description: partial 16S ribosomal RNA
Rfam family: Bacterial small subunit ribosomal RNA
Source: RNAcentral